Non-coding RNA from Picea glauca (white spruce), 46 nucleotides. Lineage: Eukaryota; Viridiplantae; Streptophyta; Pinopsida; Pinales; Pinaceae. The record is from Rfam.
GUAACGGUGUCUUUAGACACCACCUUUCGUCUUCGAAAUUUGUAUU